AUGAGACCCAAGAACCGCGACAGGCCAUGUACGGACGAGGCCGCCCCGUCGUCGACGCUCUCUGUCUCGGCACCCAACUCGUUCAUGAGGUCGCGGCGGCCGGCGAGCGCCAUCGUCACACGGAGAAACGGGACGACGGUCGAGUGGAACAUGGAGGUCGCCAUCGAGUCCUCAUCCGUGUCGGGUGUUGCGCGUGUGUGGAGCCACAUGACAUCGUCGCACAUCGACGGCCACGGUCGACUGAUCUUCAUGGCGCCUGCCGGUGGUGGGCCAACAUAAGACGCGAUGAUGACCAUGGAAAUGGCCAAUACUUGCAAAGGGUAAAACGGAGAUCGAUCAAGCGUCGCAACAACGGCCUCGUCGCCAUAUUGCGCACGCAACCCCGUUAGACCGCCGCGCGCCACCAGAGCCCACGUGGCAUUGACGCCGUCGGCCGACGCAGUCAAUGGGUCGGCCAUCGCUUUGUGGGCCAGUUGAUCGCUCGCAGGGUCUGCCUCUUUGGGCCGCCCUAGUUGCUUCUCCAACAGUUGGAGGGCAGAAACGGCUCCUCCCGUGUCGUCGUCCAUGCUCUCGAUCGACUGCCGCAACAAGCCAACAAUGUCAAAGCCGCUCGCGGCAGAGACCCGCUCGGCGACGGCACGCAUGGCGACCUCGUCCAUCGUGUGGGCCGUGCACAUGAUCGCCAACAGGACCUCUGACUCGAGGCGCAUGCGCGGCCAGAUCAAUUCGUCGGUGCGAUUCAGGGACGUCCCGCGCACCAUUGCAUGGGCAGAAAGCACGCACUCGGUGGUAGGGGCGCGCGUCGGACGAUUGUCGUCGUCACACAACCAUGCAAGCGCCCGUUCGCAACCAUGGUGGGCGGCGGCCACAGCCAAGGCUAGCCACGGUGCCGGACUGGGCGGCCAUGUGGGCGAAUCAAUCGCGCCGUUCUCCAGGGCCAAGCGUAUGGCCCACAAUUCGUCCAACGUUGUGUGGACCGGCGGUUCCGGGUCGAGAUCAGGCGCCGGCGGCAAUGUGGAAGCGACCUCGACCAUCCGCGCCUUGAGAUGGUUCAACACGUCGACGUGGUCCCGAAUGGCGGCCGCGUAGAGGCAGGCGUCCCAACGGAAUCCAGCAAUGGGUCCAAAGACCUCGGGUCGCAAAGCGGCAUACUGCAGACCGUCCAGAUCGCCAGCAGCGCACAGGGAUAGGAGCGUGGCAAAGCGACAACGGUGGAUGGUCAGGUCUGCUGGCGUCAGCACGUGGAAGCGUCGCCAAGCCAAGAGACAGGCGCCCAGGUCCUUGGGGUCAUGGACAUGGGUCGACACAAUCAGAUAGAGAAUAUCGUCGGGCAGGACGUCAAUCGGUGGGUCCAUGACAAUGGCCUCUCUUCUUUGCAAAAAAAGUCAAGGGUGUGUCCUGUUUUCGUGAAAAGGAUGUGCAAGCCAAAGAAAGCCAAACCAGCGCGAUGGCUGCGCAGGGCUGUCCACAGCGACGUCGGCGCACAAACCGGCCCCGCUUUUUUGCC
This 1507-nucleotide long non-coding RNA is filed under the name Pandoravirus celtis. RNAcentral describes it as "hypothetical ncRNA". The record is from RNAcentral.